This 253-nucleotide ribosomal RNA is filed under the name uncultured bacterium. Its description in RNAcentral is "partial 16S ribosomal RNA". It matches the Rfam family "Bacterial small subunit ribosomal RNA", at positions 524 to 776 of the family's 1533-position model. The record is from RNAcentral.
UACGUAGGGGGCAAGCGUUGUCCGGAAUCAUUGGGCGUAAAGAGCGCGUAGGCGGCCUGAUAAGUCCGAUGUGAAAUCCCCGGGCUCAACCUGGGAAUUGCAUUCGAUACUGGAUAGCUAGAGUUCGGCAGAGGGAAGUGGAAUUUCGGGUGUAGCGGUGAAAUGCGUAGAUAUCCGAAGGAACAUCAGUGGCGAAAGCGACUUCCUGGACCAGAACUGACGAUCAGGCACGAAAGCGUGGGGAGCGAACAGG